Long non-coding RNA from Symphalangus syndactylus (siamang), 2415 nucleotides. RefSeq lists it as uncharacterized. NCBI's taxonomy places the organism in Eukaryota, Metazoa, Chordata, Mammalia, Primates, Hylobatidae. The record is from RefSeq and is a predicted model, not a curated record.
CUCUACCAAAAAAACCAAAAAUACAAAAAUAAGCUGGGCAUGGUGGUGUACACCUGUAGUUCCAGCUACUUAGGAGGCUGAGGCCUCAAGCCCAGGAGGGGAGGUUGCAGUGAGCCAUGAUCACCCCACUGCACUCCAGCCUGGGUGAUGGGAGUGAAACCCUGUCUCAAAAAAAUGGGAAGGAAGGAAAGAAGGAAGGAAGGGAGGGAAGGAGGGAGGGAGGGAAGGAAGGGAAGGGAAGGAAGGAAGGGAAGGAGGGAGCAAAGAAAGGAAAUACUUGAUUUUAAAUUCUUUUUCUGUUAAAUCAAAUUAAUCUAAAGGUAAUAGGGGAUUUACUAUUUAAGGGAACCGUAAAGUGCUUAUUCUGUGCAAUAACAAAACCCAGCAUGGGCGUGCCUGUUUUCAUCUGUGUGCCCUCAGAUCCAGUCUUGCCCUUCUGCUACUCUGAUGUGAGUGGAAGCGUGGGUUUCCAGGCCGCUGGGUUUGCUGAUUGGGUUUGGCCAGUGGAGGUGCCGUCAGGAGAUGGGAGUGGACCCAGAAGGAAGAAACCAGGAAUGAAACCACAAUGAUUCAAGACUGGGCUGGGCACAGUGGCUCACGCCUAUAAUCCCAGCCUUUGGGAGGCUGAGGGCAGCGGAUCAUUUGAGGUCAGGAGUUUGAGACCAGCCUGCCCGAAAUAGCGAAGCCCCAUCUCUACUGAAAAUACAACAAAUUAGCCGGACGUGGUGGCACACGCCUGUAAUUCCAGCUACUUGGGAAGGUGAGGCGGAGAAUCACUUGAACCCAGGAGGUGGAGGUUGCAGUGAGCUGAGAUCGCACCACUGCACUGGGUGAGAGAGGGAGACUCUGUCUCAAAACAAAACAAAAAAAUAAAAAUAAAAUAAAGACUGCAUUUUAUUUGGAGAUUUUCAAUGCAUUUUUUAUCUUUGAUCAUUUCAUUGAGGCAGUCCCACUCAAGGGAUUGGAGUCAUGAAUAGAACCCACCUGUAUUUGUCCGUGUUUUAGCAGUUGCUUCUAUGUAGAGCAUCUGACUACUUUAUUAUAUAUUUUGUAAGUAUAUCUGUACCUAAGCUUUAUAUAUUGAAAUAGGUAUUAUUUUGUUAUAAGUUGCUUUCUUAUUAUUUCUUUUUUGUAUUACCAUUAGAGAAGUAUAUCAGUUUUUUAAAAUAUAUGGUUAGGGGAGUGACAACCACAAGUAGUGAUUCUCAUUUCAAGAAAUUAAAUGGCAUUUGUAAAAAAAAAAAAAAAAGCAGGUGGGGCUCUGGGGCUGGCAGGGUUGAGUAGGAGGCAGCUCCUGCCCAGGGAGAGCCGCGAUGUCCUGGAGGGUGCCCCCUUGUGGUGGCUUUUGGGAUGGCACCCUUCCCCACUGGGAUAAAAUAGAAUCUAUUAUGGAAUGGUCAGCACCAGGAUGAUGGGUGUGUGUAUAAUUUAAAACAGCCUCCAGGUGGUUCUAAGAAUCUUCUUUCAUCAGGGGAGGCAGAAUUCCCUUAUACAACCUUUUGGCAUGUUUGCUACAUGUUUGCAACCUUUUGGCAUAUUGCCUUGAAAUUGAACAUUUGAACUCUUUUUCUCUUAAAACAUAACUGCUAAACUUUCAAAAAUUAUCCUGGGAUUCUAAGCUUGUUGCACAGGGAAAAUACGUUGUUAUGUGAGGAAAACUAAUCAAAGUUCUCUACCUUUCCUGGUCAGCAGCAUGUGUUUCCAAAAAAUUUAAGAGAAAUUAGCGGGUUAAUUGAGAACAUUCUACAUCUCACCAUGUUUGCUCUUAUCAUAAUUCACCAUUGCUGAUUUUUCUGCCUACAGAGUUGCUGAACCCGGCUUGAUUUUCCCAUAGAACUGAAGCCUGAGGAACUUACAUUUGUUUUGUCUGAGUUUCUUUCUCAGGAAACCAACCAUCAGGCCUCCCAGAUAGUAUCAGGGAACUGAAACUUUUCAGAUGAUGGCAUCCAGUCAUGAGAUGCACCUGCUGCCUGUUGACCAAUUCCUCUUCUUUACCUCUCCCUAACCCCCUGCUAUAUAAACCCCUAACUUUAGUUAGUUAGGGAGACAGAUUUGAGACUGGUCUCCCAUGUCCCAGCUGACAUCACCUGCAUUAAAGCCUUUCUUCCCCAGCAAUACUCAUCGUCUCAGUGAUUGGCUUUCUCUACAGUGACAACUGGACCUGGCUGGAACCCCUGUCAUCUGGCAACAUUAUUACCUGUCAAAACAGAAGUAGAGAUUUGAAAUAGAGGAUGCCAGUUCCCAUUUCCUCCUGCUGUCUGGAAGGAAGUCUGGCUUUCCAGCCCAACUCUAAGCUCAUCUUUACAUACAAAAUAAGCAUAUGUUUACAUGGAAAGCAAAAAUAGAACCAUGGAUUUACAGAAGGUUCCAUAGCAGCAAAUAACAGUGCUUAUGAAAUAAACAUUUUAAGUAUUA